AACCAACUUUUCAUCUUCUUCCUACUAAUCCAGAAAUCCAUCGGUCAUUCCUCUUAAAUUUCUUCUUAAAUCAAUCGAUCUAUCUUCAAUACCACCUUUUCUCUUCGAGAACAGUUGAGGUUCGAUUAUAAAAAGGUAAAAAGUUUAUGGAGGUUUCGUUCAAGAAGGGAUUAGUAAUUCUGGUCUUGAUCUAAAUCUUUAUAUAUAAAAAAGCGUGAAUAAGAUUGUGAUGGAGUCAAAAUAUGGUAAAAAGAAGUCCAGCAGUAGUAGUAGUUCCUUAUUUUACAAAGCUCUCCUCGGUUACAGCAUUGAAGACGUUCGCCCCAACAGUGGAAUCAAGAAAUUCAAAUCUCUGUCUACUCCAACUGCGUUAAGAGGCCAUCCUGAGUUGUCGCGCACAAAGUCUUCACUAUAGUUAUAGCUGCUUUCUUUAAUUUCCAGUUUAUAAUUUACUUUCUGUUAAGCUCUAUUUCUGCUUGGUUCCCCAAUCCCAUCGUUUUCUCAUCCUACUACAAGUUCAGACAACAAGGUGACAUGGCCUUAUCUGCAAUCGGUUUCGAAGUUACGAGAAGCCGCCCGAGGUCUCUUUCUUUGAGCCUAGCAUCUUUCAAGACUCCAAGGGACUGGGUCUCCGUACUCUGACCAGGUCCCAGCUUGACGAAAUACACACUCCUGCUGCCUGCGAGAUUGUUUCUUCUCUCUCCAACGAUCACUUCGACUCUUGCGUCCUCUCUGAGUCCAGCUUCUUUGUCUACCCCUACAAAGUCAUCAUAAAGACUUGUGGCACCACCAAGCUCCUCCUCUCUAUCCCGCCUCUCCUUAACCUGGCUGGUUAGCUCUCUCUGAGUGUCAAGUCCGUCAAGUACACUUGUGGCUCCUUCCUCUGCCCUGGCGGCCAGGAAUAAUCAAGUGGAGACAAAAAUUGUUUAGAAGACUCUAACUGUGCCAAGUUAAAGCUGAGGAAAGUCGCCGUGGUCACUUGAUUCUCCAGCACGAGUCCGAGAGAUUCGUUUUCCAAGCUGAGCCCCUCAUAACUCGCAAGAUUUCUAGCACAUUUUUCAUAUUUUGUUACUUUUUGUUGCAUUUAUUUGGAAACAAAGAGCAAAUCGACAAGAGUCAUAACUCACAAGAUUCCUGUAAUUAUCAAUCAAAAGAAAAAUGCAUACAGGUGAAUAUAAUAAUCCCAUGGUAUUUACAAAAAUCAAAUUAAUCCUUACUAAUAAAAGGGACCUUUUGAGGCUCCAUAGAGCGUCCACAUCAGCAAAAAAAAUUCUCCCGAAAGAUGACACGUGGCAUAAAAUAUAGUUUUACAUUUUAAUAUUACUAAUUUUCAAAAAUUAUAAAUAAUAUGAAACAUACAACAUAAAAAAUAGAAAAACUACAUUGAACAUAUGUAAAAUUACCAUUUUUCACUUUAAAAAAAAGACGGCUUAAUUCCAUAAUGUAAUAUCUAUCCUAUACUAAAAGGAAGAUAUAGAGUGAUUUAAGCCUAUCCACGUAGGCAAAUAUAUUCCCCCAAUCAAAACAUUUGGUUAAUACACGUUGGAUUUACUAAACUAAAUUACUGAUUUUAUAUUAUAAUAUAUAGAUUUUGUGAGAUAUAAUUGAGACGAGAGGGGUUGUUAAAAAAAAAAAUUGAGACGAGAGGUAGCUCUUUGGCUUCCAAGUGUUUCUGUUCUUCUUCAUCAUCCCUUGAAACGUCAUCUCCACACCCUACCAAGCCAUCUAAGGCUAAGAUCCGCUAUUGAAUCUGCUGUGGCGCCGCCGGCGGAUCUUCCUCAGUGAGCUAGGUUCCGGUUGAGAAUCAAGUAUCGGAAUCUGUAGAGACAGAGCUUAGAUCCUAUAAUCCCCAAGCUAUUGAUGCGGAUUUAUGCUCUGAUCCCCAAGCUGUCCUCUGACUCAGUGGCUUUCAUCUACUCUUCAUCGGCCUCCGUCUCUCUCUCUCUCCUAUUCUUCUCCAGGCCACAUCGACCCUCUCCGAUCAAGGUUCCAGGUUCCCUUUGUAGCCAAUAGCUCUUGAGAUCUUUGAUUUCACUUUGCUCUUUUUUUAGGUUCAAACUUCUUUUGUUUCCUUAUUUUUCCCAGAUCUGCUUCCAUUGAUUGAAUAAUCCUAAUUGCAGAAAACUCUACCCAGGAGCCGAUCUAAUUGUAGCUACUGAAUUGCUUAGACAGAAAGAGAACGUGUAGGCAGAAUCUCUUCGAUUUCACUAAUUAUGGAAACUCAUGAAUGGUUUCUUCUCUGUUGUGUGUGUGUUUUUGGUUUAAGUCCGGAUCUGCUGGGAUUGUAGUUUUUAAUUAUAAGGAUUGUAAUAACACGUUGCAGAAAACUGAAGCUGUCUUUUAUUAUUUUCUCUUCUUCCGGCAAUUUUGUUUCUAAUGUUUUUGUGGAUUUAGGCGAAGUGGUGACGGAUGGUGAGAAGUCGAAGGCGGGGAAGAAGCGAGCUAAGGCUCCAUGGGCGAAACCACUUUCUCAGUAUUCUCAGGUGGGUCAAGUUUCAUCAGUGAUUGUUUUUUUUUAUUAUUGGUUUGAUCUAAUCGUCUGCGAGUUGCGCCUUCAGGGUUUAGCAGUGUGCAGUUCAUGUAAUAUUUUUAGUAAAGGUUUGGUCUUUCAGUUCAUGAGGAACGAGUUCAGUUGUCUGCAUGUCCGGUUCUUUUAUAGUUUUUUACCGACAAAACUCAGAAGUAUGUAAUGUUUGUGUCUUUGUGACUUUUUGUGGUCUGCAAGUUACGCAUUGAGGGUUUAGCAGUGUGCAGUUCGUGUAAUAUUUUUUGUUGUUGAAGGUUUGGUCUUUCAGUUCAUGCCCAACGAGUUUAGUUGGCUUCAUGUUUGGUUCUUUUAUAUUUUUCUGACAGACCACACGAUGUGAUCUAAUGAACAAUAUUUGGGUCUAUUGCAGGCAUACUUUGAUGCGCCCGGGGUUUAGUAAAUUUAAAUUUUUUUAUAUUGGCCAAUUUGUAACCACUGUUAUUGUUUUCUAUAUUCAUAUUCAUGAACGGAGUUUUAGUGAAGGAGAUUUCCUUGAAAUAAGCAGAUGAUGCUCAAUCACCAAAAGCUUACACAACUGAGGAUUACCUCAAGAUCACUGAAGAGCAGCUCAAAGCUUCGUCUCCUGGUAAAAGCCAAAGAGAGGAUCAAAUUCAGACUCAAGAACUUGCUGUACAAAGCCAGCCUGAAGUUACAUCGAGAGAGACCAUGGCUUCAUCUCCUCCAUGGCUGUAGUUAACGUAAGUGAUCAUCAGUUUUAUGUGGAGGUUUGGAUCAAGAGAAUCUAUAUCCUUCUGAUCACUAUGAUCACUAAAAGGAAGAUAUAGAGUGAUUUAAGCCUAUCCACAUUUUGUGAGAUAUAAUUGAGACGAGAGGGGUUGUUAAAAAAAAAAAUUGAGACGAGAGGUAGCUCUUUGGCUUCCAAGUGUUUCUGUUCUUCUUCAUCAUCCCUUGAAACGUCAUCUCCACACCCUACCAAGCCAUCUAAGGCUAAGAUCCGCUAUUGAAUCUGCUGUGGCGCCGCCGACGGAUCUUCCUCAGUGAGCUAGGUUCCGGUUGAGAAUCAAGUAUCGGAAUCUGUAGAGACAGAGCUUAGAUACUAUAAUCCCCAAGCUAUUGAUGCGGAUUUAUGCUCUGAUCCCCAAGCUGUCCUCUGACUCAGUGGCUUUCAUCUACUCUUCAUCGGCCUCCGUCUCUCUCUCUCUCCUAUUCUUCUCCAGGCCACAUCGACCCUCUCCGAUCAAGGUUCCAGGUUCCCUUUGUAGCCAAUAGCUCUUGAGAUCUUUGAUUUCACUUUGCUCUUUUUUUAGGUUCAAACUUCUUUUGUUUCCUUAUUUUUCCCAGAUCUGCUUCCAUUGAUUGAAUAAUCCUAAUUGCAGAAAACUCUACCCAGGAGCCGAUCUAAUUGUAGCUACUGAAUUGCUUAGACAGAAAGAGAACGUGUAGGCAGAAUCUCUUCGAUUUCACUAAUUAUGGAAACUCAUGAAUGGUUUCUUCUCUGUUGUGUGUGUGUUUUUGGUUUAAGUCCGGAUCUGCUGGGAUUGUAGUUUUUAAUUAUAAGGAUUGUAAUAACACGUUGCAGAAAACUGAAGCUGUCUUUUAUUAUUUUCUCUUCUUCCGGCAAUUUUGUUUCUAAUGUUUUUGUGGAUUUAGGCGAAGUGGUGACGGAUGGUGAGAAGUCGAAGGCGGGGAAGAAGCGAGCUAAGGCUCCAUGGGCGAAACCACUUUCUCAGUAUUCUCAGGCAUACUUUGAUGCGCCCGGGGUUUAGUAAAUUUAAAUUUUUUUAUAUUGGCCAAUUUGUAACCACUGUUAUUGUUUUCUAUAUUCAUAUUCAUGAACGGAGUUUUAGUGAAGGAGAUUUCCUUGAAAUAAGCAGAUGAUGCUCAAUCACCAAAAGCUUACACAACUGAGGAUUACCUCAAGAUCACUGAAGAGCAGCUCAAAGCUUCGUCUCCUGGUAAAAGCCAAAGAGAGGAUCAAAUUCAGACUCAAGAACUUGCUGUACAAAGCCAGCCUGAAGUUACAUCGAGAGAGACCAUGGCUUCAUCUCCUCCAUGGCUGUAGUUAACGUAAGUGAUCAUCAGUUUUAUGUGGAGGUUUGGAUCAAGAGAAUCUAUAUCCUUCUGAUCACUAUGAUCACUAAAAGGAAGAUAUAGAGUGAUUUAAGCCUAUCCACAUUUUGUGAGAUAUAAUUGAGACGAGAGGGGUUGUUAAAAAAAAAAAUUGAGACGAGAGGUAGCUCUUUGGCUUCCAAGUGUUUCUGUUCUUCUUCAUCAUCCCUUGAAACGUCAUCUCCACACCCUACCAAGCCAUCUAAGGCUAAGAUCCGCUAUUGAAUCUGCUGUGGCGCCGCCGGCGGAUCUUCCUCAGUGAGCUAGGUUCCGGUUGAGAAUCAAGUAUCGGAAUCUGUAGAGACAGAGCUUAGAUCCUAUAAUCCCCAAGCUAUUGAUGCGGAUUUAUGCUCUGAUCCCCAAGCUGUCCUCUGACUCAGUGGCUUUCAUCUACUCUUCAUCGGCCUCCGUCUCUCUCUCUCUCCUAUUCUUCUCCAGGCCACAUCGACCCUCUCCGAUCAAGGUUCCAGGUUCCCUUUGUAGCCAAUAGCUCUUGAGAUCUUUGAUUUCACUUUGCUCUUUUUUUAGGUUCAAACUUCUUUUGUUUCCUUAUUUUUCCCAGAUCUGCUUCCAUUGAUUGAAUAAUCCUAAUUGCAGAAAACUCUACCCAGGAGCCGAUCUAAUUGUAGCUACUGAAUUGCUUAGACAGAAAGAGAACGUGUAGGCAGAAUCUCUUCGAUUUCACUAAUUAUGGAAACUCAUGAAUGGUUUCUUCUCUGUUGUGUGUGUGUUUUUGGUUUAAGUCCGGAUCUGCUGGGAUUGUAGUUUUUAAUUAUAAGGAUUGUAAUAACACGUUGCAGAAAACUGAAGCUGUCUUUUAUUAUUUUCUCUUCUUCCGGCAAUUUUGUUUCUAAUGUUUUUGUGGAUUUAGGCGAAGUGGUGACGGAUGGUGAGAAGUCGAAGGCGGGGAAGAAGCGAGCUAAGGCUCCAUGGGCGAAACCACUUUCUCAGUAUUCUCAGGUGGGUCAAGUUUCAUCAGUGAUUGUUUUUUUUUAUUAUUGGUUUGAUCUAAUCGUCUGCGAGUUGCGCCUUCAGGGUUUAGCAGUGUGCAGUUCAUGUAAUAUUUUUAGUAAAGGUUUGGUCUUUCAGUUCAUGAGGAACGAGUUCAGUUGUCUGCAUGUCCGGUUCUUUUAUAGUUUUUUACCGACAAAACUCAGAAGUAUGUAAUGUUUGUGUCUUUGUGACUUUUUGUGGUCUGCAAGUUACGCAUUGAGGGUUUAGCAGUGUGCAGUUCGUGUAAUAUUUUUUGUUGUUGAAGGUUUGGUCUUUCAGUUCAUGCCCAACGAGUUUAGUUGGCUUCAUGUUUGGUUCUUUUAUAUUUUUCUGACAGACCACACGAUGUGAUCUAAUGAACAAUAUUUGGGUCUAUUGCAGGCAUACUUUGAUGCGCCCGGGGUUUAGUAAAUUUAAAUUUUUUUAUAUUGGCCAAUUUGUAACCACUGUUAUUGUUUUCUAUAUUCAUAUUCAUGAACGGAGUUUUAGUGAAGGAGAUUUCCUUGAAAUAAGCAGAUGAUGCUCAAUCACCAAAAGCUUACACAACUGAGGAUUACCUCAAGAUCACUGAAGAGCAGCUCAAAGCUUCGUCUCCUGGUAAAAGCCAAAGAGAGGAUCAAAUUCAGACUCAAGAACUUGCUGUACAAAGCCAGCCUGAAGUUACAUCGAGAGAGACCAUGGCUUCAUCUCCUCCAUGGCUGUAGUUAACGUAAGUGAUCAUCAGGUACCAGUUUAUAAGAGUUCUUUCUAAAGAUAUACGGAUGUUUGUGUUGGUUGUUUAGUUAAGGGACUACGACGUCGUACAAGUGGAGUUGGUUGUUUAGUUAAGCUACUACGCCGCCGUACAAGUGGAGUUCUGGUGAUUCUGAUUCCAGUUCAUGUGAACUUAGCGGAGAAGAGAGCUUUGGAGAAGCUGAUGGUCUCUUGCUCUGCGGCGGUGACACAUGACAGGAGAAGUUGAGGAGGGGUUUGUGUAACUCGCUCCUCCAAGUUGUCUCGAGUCAGUCGCACUAGAGACGUUUGGGACUAUGUUGGUCAUCUAAAUCCUCUUCCCAACUCAUAUAUUUGUCGCUGAUUGCACAAAUUCGUAACCUCUCUUUGACAGGGAAAACUGCCAUACGUAUAGGUGAUAUCUAUAGUUUUUAUAUGUGAAUUUUUUGAUGGAAAACAUUUUUUUUUGCAGGCCAAAGCCCUUGCAAGUGGAACAACCAUCAUUACAAACAAAGAAGAAUCUAAGAGAGAGCAGAAUAAUAUGGGAUCUGAGGGGUCAGGGGUUGCACCUAUGCCAGCAAUGGGCACAGAGUACAGCCAUGUGCUCAAAUGGCUAAGCUACAAGCUAAAAUAGAGAAAGAGGCGGAUGAGGGGAAGAGUAUACAGCAGAAGUGGCAAUGUUUUAUUUUAUUCCAAGGAUCCCAUUAUCACAUUCAAAUAUUAAACACACAUACAGUAUGAUUCUGUCUUUCUUAUUCUUUUCUCUUUACAGCUAUAAGAUGGUAUCAGCAGUUCAUCUCUGCAUCUGUUAGUUAGAUUGACUUACCAUUCAGUGAUCCUCUAAACUUUUUUUUACUAAACUUGUGUUUUCUUUCCU
Brassica rapa (field mustard) is the source of this 7178-nucleotide long non-coding RNA. RefSeq lists it as uncharacterized. The record is from RefSeq and is a predicted model, not a curated record. NCBI's taxonomy places the organism in Eukaryota, Viridiplantae, Streptophyta, Magnoliopsida, Brassicales, Brassicaceae.